This 677-nucleotide long non-coding RNA is filed under the name Heterocephalus glaber (naked mole-rat). RNAcentral describes it as "lncRNA (ENSHGLG00100043918.1)". The record is from RNAcentral. Lineage: Eukaryota; Metazoa; Chordata; Mammalia; Rodentia; Bathyergidae.
GGACACCACAGCAGUGGCAGGUGUGGCGUCUUCAAGUGAAAACUUCCCAGUCGCUGCCCCUUCCGAGGGCCCUGAACGGACUCAGAAGGCGACCCCGGACCGGAGGUGUGCAUGGGGAGAAGCCUGCACCUUCUUCUCUUCCGAGCUGUUCUCAUACACAGCCGUUUCGUACGCCUGCAGGUGUCAGGCGGAAGGGAUCUCGGCCCAGAGGAAGCCUUAGAGCGACUGUAUACCUUACUGUCUGACUCGGGACACUGUUGAGAGGGAAAGGGAGAAACUAAUCAUCACGCCAGGAGAUGUGGACACGGUGACCGUUCUGGGCACUCUGCGAACUGUGCCUCUUUGAGUCUUCUGGCAGACUAACCUCCUUUACAGCUGGAUGGAGCCUUGGGACUAGGUUCUGGACAACUGGAUAUUAACAGAAAUGAUGUGCAAUCUCUAGAUGCCAUUAAAGAAGGAGGCAGCCCUUUCUUUGCCUUUCGUCCUUUCUGCUGGCUGGAAUACAGACAUGCUGGUUGAAGCUGAAGCAGUCAUCUUGCACCAUGAAGUAAAUAUGGGAAAUGGAACUCAACCCAGAAAAGUACAAAACACAAGGAACUCCAAGAGCUAAUCUUGGAUAAGCACAGUUUGCCCACAACUGUGUGAAUCUGAAGUCGCCGAAGAGAAGAGGUGAUAGG